Molecule: long non-coding RNA, 289 nt
Organism: Trachemys scripta elegans
Lineage: Eukaryota; Metazoa; Chordata; Testudines; Emydidae
Exons: 3
Source: RefSeq, a predicted model, not a curated record
CUAAGCUUCUCUUGUCAGAUCAUGCCACUGUGCUGAAACAAUGGUCUGGACAAGAUGCCUCAGAAGAGCUACAUGCUGCAGAUUUGGUUUUCAUGCUCAAACACAGCCUGCACAAACUGCUUGAAGACUCUGUCCAUUGAAUUCAGAUGACCAAAAGUAUUCAGAGGUGAAUGGCUAGUACAUUGUUCCACUGGGUAACCGAUAGCAGAACCCUUGAUUAAAGAAAAAUAAAGCGUGGAGAGCACAGGUGACCACAGAUAGCUCAUCAGCACAGGUAACCAGGCAGGCC